Anguilla anguilla (European eel) is the source of this 914-nucleotide long non-coding RNA. RefSeq lists it as uncharacterized. The record is from RefSeq and is a predicted model, not a curated record. Lineage: Eukaryota; Metazoa; Chordata; Actinopteri; Anguilliformes; Anguillidae. The transcript is spliced from 3 exons.
AUCACCUGUGAUUAAUGGACAGCUGCACGCGACCACUCGCGCUUUUCUGAAAACGCACUGGUCGAAUGUCUGGUAGAGAAUUCAGACCAGACAGUCACCUGUGCUGUCCGGUAAUACGCAAAUACGUUCCGCAGCGCUUAAUAUCGGAUAAUAAUAUGCCCUGUUAAUAUAUGAACACUCCAUUGUUAAGAAAUGGAGCCAAAGAACCUGGACCUGUCUCAUUUUAGUUCGCCAGAAGAUAACAUCGCCACUUUGCACUUGACUUAGCUAGAAAAAUGAGCAUCGCAUGCUGGUGUAGUUGGAGUUUUAAGCGUCUUGGCUAGCAAGUUAGCAACAGCUGAGUGCUUUUCAUUCACGGGACCAGCCAGCCCAUCCUGACCUGGGAAACCACGGUUACCGGGAGCGCCCUAGAAACAAGGUGUCAGGAGAAUAAACUCACCGCAGAUCCUUUGGAUCCAGGAAUGCCGUCAGUACCAGGGUUACCCUGUAGAGACCAAACACAGCCGGGGAUCAGAGACUGAAACUGAGACUGAAACAGCCCUACCUUCACACCUUAUAACAGCACUGCAGGUGAGCCCUGCAGGUGAGCACUGCAGGUGAGCCCUGCAGGUGAGGGAGCUCUGCCUUAAGGAGAGUUCUCAUGCUUUGUGAUGAGCGUGCUUAAAAAUGCACAUCUGCACGUGUCAGUUGUAAAUAAUGUGUUAGUUCCCGUGUGUGUGUAUGUGGUUGCAGGUGAACAGAGUUUGUGUUCAGUGUUCAUGUCGUUUACACUGUGUAGGUUUCCCAGCUGGAGUGUACUAUAAGCACUAGGGGCUUUGGGAUGAGUGCAGUGGGAUGCAUAUGAUUUGGAGGACUGACACAAAUGGAGUUAUGGUGGGAAAUUUAUCAGAACAUAAAAGCUUUUUGAUCACAAA